Molecule: long non-coding RNA, 413 nt
Organism: Aphidius gifuensis
Lineage: Eukaryota; Metazoa; Arthropoda; Insecta; Hymenoptera; Braconidae
Exons: 3
Source: RefSeq, a predicted model, not a curated record
AUGUAGCAGCUAAAAAGAAGAAUCAAGUGAAGAUUCAUCUGAUGAUAGUGAUGAAGAAGAAAAACCAAAAGCCAAAACACCAGUUAAAGCUGCUGUUGCUAAAAAAACUGAAGAAUCAUCAUCAUCAGAUGAUGAUGAUGACGAUGAAGAUGAAGAACCAGCCAAACCAAAACCAGCUGAAAAAAGAAAACGUGAAGAGGAUGCAGAUGAAAUUGCAGCUGAAGCAACACCAAACAAAGUUGCUAAAAAUAAUUAUGACAAUUUUGUAAAAGGUGGCUUCAAUGGUGACAAGUCAACACCAAAAAAUUCGCCAUUUCGACGAGUAAGGGAUGAAGAGAUCGAGCCAAUAAAAGCUGAGUUGUGUAAUAAUUCAUUUGAAGCUAAGAGAGGAGCUAGAGGUUCUUGGGGUGAAA